CGUGAUGAAAUUCCACAGUUUCCUGUCAGUCUGACGACGAAAACGCGUGAGGACGCAAUCCCGAC
This 65-nucleotide small nucleolar RNA is filed under the name Trypanosoma cruzi. RNAcentral describes it as "C/D small nucleolar RNA (snoRNA), TB11C4C1, 3' partial". Lineage: Eukaryota; Euglenozoa; Kinetoplastea; Trypanosomatida; Trypanosomatidae. The record is from RNAcentral.